This 497-nucleotide ribosomal RNA is filed under the name uncultured bacterium. Its description in RNAcentral is "partial 16S ribosomal RNA". It matches the Rfam family "Bacterial small subunit ribosomal RNA", at positions 28 to 507 of the family's 1533-position model. The record is from RNAcentral.
GAUGAACGCUGGCGGCGUGCCUAAUACAUGCAAGUCGAGCGAACAGACGAGGAGCUUGCUCCUCUGACGUUAGCGGCGGACGGGUGAGUAACACGUGGAUAACCUACCUAUAAGACUGGGAUAACUUCGGGAAACCGGAUCUAAUACCGGAUAAUAUAUUGAACCGCAUGGUUCAAUAGUGAAAGACGGUUUUGCUGGAACUUAUAGAGGGAUCCGAGCCGCAUGAGCUAGUUGGUAAGGUAACGGCUUACCAAGGCAACGAUGCGUAGCCGACCUGAGAGGGUGAUCGGCCACACUGGAACUGAGACACGGUCCAGACACCGACGGGAGGCAGCAGUAGGGAAUCUUACGCAAUGGGCGAAAGCCUGACGGAGCAACGCCGCGUGAGUGAUGAAGGUCUUCGGAUCGUAAAACUCUGUUAUUAGGGAAGAACAAAUGUGUAAGUAACUAUGCACGUCUUGACGGUACCUAAUCAGAAAGCCACGGCUAACUACGUG